Molecule: ribosomal RNA, 496 nt
Filed under: Trichocomaceae sp.
Lineage: Eukaryota; Fungi; Ascomycota; Eurotiomycetes; Eurotiales; Trichocomaceae
Description: SSU rRNA
Rfam family: Eukaryotic small subunit ribosomal RNA
Source: RNAcentral
GGUCGCCUCACCGCGAGUACUGGUCCGGCUGGACCUUUCCUUCUGGGGAACCUCAUGGCCUUCACUGGCUGUGGGGGGAACCAGGACUUUUACUGUGAAAAAAUUAGAGUGUUCAAAGCAGGCCUUUGCUCGAAUACAUUAGCAUGGAAUAAUAGAAUAGGACGUGUGGUUCUAUUUUGUUGGUUUCUAGGACCGCCGUAAUGAUUAAUAGGGAUAGUCGGGGGCGUCAGUAUUCAGCUGUCAGAGGUGAAAUUCUUGGAUUUGCUGAAGACUAACUACUGCGAAAGCAUUCGCCAAGGAUGUUUUCAUUAAUCAGGGAACGAAAGUUAGGGGAUCGAAGACGAUCAGAUACCGUCGUAGUCUUAACCAUAAACUAUGCCGACUAGGGAUCGGACGGGAUUCUAUAAUGACCCGUUCGGCACCUUACGAGAAAUCAAAGUUUUUGGGUUCUGGGGGGAGUAUGGUCGCAAGGCUGAAACUUAAAGAAAUUGACGGA